AGAAUCAACGCUGGCGGCGUGCCUAACACAUGCAAGUCGAACGAGAAAGUGGAGCAAUCCAUGAGUAAAGUGGCGCACGGGUGAGUAACACGUGACUAACCUACCCUUGAGUGGGGGAUAACCUAGGGAAACCUGGGCUAAUACCGCAUAAUACCUUCGGGUCAAAGGAGCAAUUCGCUUAAGGAGGGGGUCGCGGCCGAUUAGUUAGUUGGCGGGGUAAUGGCCCACCAAGACUGUGAUCGGUA
RNAcentral lists this ribosomal RNA (245 nucleotides) under uncultured bacterium. RNAcentral describes it as "partial small subunit ribosomal RNA". It matches the Rfam family "Bacterial small subunit ribosomal RNA", at positions 26 to 285 of the family's 1533-position model. The record is from RNAcentral.